AGUGAACGCUGGCGGUAGGCCUAACACAUGCAAGUCGAACGGCAGCACAGUAAGAGCUUGCUCUUACGGGUGGCGAGUGGCGGACGGGUGAGGAAUACAUCGGAAUCUACUUUUUCGUGGGGGAUAACGUAGGGAAACUUACGCUAAUACCGCAUACGACCUACGGGUGAAAGCAGGGGAUCUUCGGACCUUGCGCGAUUGAGUGAGCCGAUGUCGGAUUAGCUAGUUGGCGGGGUAAAGGCCCACCAAGGCGACGAUCCGUAGCUGGUCUGAGAGGAUGAUCAGCCACACUGGAACUGAGACACGGUCCAGACUCCUACGGGAGGCGGCAGUGGGGAAUAUUGGACAAUGGGCGCAAGCCUGAUCCAGCCAUACCGCGUGGGUGAAGAAGGCCUUCGGGUUGUAAAGCCCUUUUGUUGGGAAAGAAAAGCAGCAGGUUAAUACCCCGCUGUUCUGACGGUACCCAAAGAAUAAGCACCGGCUAACUUCGUG
Molecule: ribosomal RNA, 492 nt
Filed under: uncultured bacterium
Lineage: Bacteria
Description: partial 16S ribosomal RNA
Rfam family: Bacterial small subunit ribosomal RNA
Source: RNAcentral